This is a non-coding RNA of Durio zibethinus, 4792 nucleotides long. NCBI's taxonomy places the organism in Eukaryota, Viridiplantae, Streptophyta, Magnoliopsida, Malvales, Malvaceae. The record is from RefSeq and is a predicted model, not a curated record.
UUCCAUUUUUUCCCAGCAACCCCCGUGGGGCCGAAGUUCAAUGGGGUCGUAUCUCAAAGCCCUAAGCCCAUAUUCAUUUACUUCUGUUUUGUGGACUGCAGCCGGACGAUCCGAACGCCGCCCGGUCCAUUUUUGGCGUAAAAAAAAGAGAUUAAAUCCAAAACGAAAGAGAUCCCGUUUCAAAGCCUUUGACAGAAGCAUGAGCAGUCGCAGGCAGCCCCCCAAGUACGAGCAAAGAAAUGUUGAACUUUUUCAGGAGGCGCAACCCGAAUUUCCGUCUCAAACGUUAGAACCCGCGCCGUCGAUUGGCCAUACGCAUCCCCAAAGGUUUCCAACUCUUCAUUGAUGACGCCACUGAAAGGUCGGAGCUGGUUGAUUGUAUAUCUGGUAUGCCAUCUUCGGCUGAAAUAAUCCGAGCCAUGAUGAGAUUCGGACGCCUUUCAUUUGUUACAACUUCAUUUUUAGGAAAUGCUUUUAGUGAGUUUUAUUUUGUAGGUUUGUUCUGUUGUUGAUUCCGCGAAACUCUGCAGACAAACCCAUCCGGCCAGGUCAUUUAUUUAUAAUCUUGAAUGAUAUAAUAAGAUAUUUUCCCAUGACAGUUUAUGGUGAAUAAUUUCUUUUGAGGAAACCUACAUUGAACAAGAAACUUUUUGAGUAGAAUAGUUGGGUCAAAGUACCAUAGUUUGCUUCAGUUUUACAUUCCAUGUGCAUUGAGGAUUUAUGUGCUAUUGGGCAAUGACAAACAGCUUUGCCAUGUUUUGUUAUUGUCAUUACAGUUUCUCAAUACAACUCAUACUCUUUAUUAUGUGGUGAAAAAGGCAGAGCAAGAUGGUCAUUUGCUUACUGAGGAAGCUCGUGGAGCUGCCUACUACUUACAUAUUGACUUUUAGAAGGGUCGCAUCCAUCUCCCUUCUGGUGUAUAUCCUUUUGAUACUGACAAUCAGAUUUGCUGCAGCAUAAUUUUCCUCCUUUAGAAGCAUCAUGCAUCCGAGACAAAUACUACAUCUCCUCAAGCCUAUUUAUUGUCCGACAUCCAGUGUGUCAAAGGAGUCAUUAGGCUGACUAGAUGACGAACAAGAAAAGGGUUUCAGGAUUAUAACAGAGCCACGUACUCUAUCCACUGUUUUACAAUGGAUUGCUGAUGAUCAGGUAGCUUUCAUCGUCUGGAAUGAAGAAAUCAAUAACUCUUUUCUGCAUUUUUAUUAAAGUUGAGACUUGCAAGGUUAGGAAAAUGGCAUAUUUGAAAGGGAACUCCAUUCCGCAUGCAAACCACAAAGUUCUUGAUAAACUUAGAUCUUCCAGACCUGAGUUUGCUAAGAUUAUUACAGCUACUUGCAUGCCAAGUGUGCUGCAACCAUAUGGAAGAAGCUAUGCAAAGAGGAUCCUCUGUCACUGACAACCAGAACCGCUCUCAGAGCAAAACUUUUAGAGCACGGAGGAGCCAAAGAACCGGCUGAUCUGUUGACUGAUCUAGUGAGGCAUGGGAUAAUAAGGGUAUCAUAAUGGAGGGAUGGUUCCUGACAUCACAAGUUAUUUUGGAAGAAGUGAAGCUUUCUGGAAAAUAGGAAAACCGGCCUAUUUUGUAACUGACUGGAGACAAAGUAUCAAAUGAAAUGUAGGAGGAAAAGAAUAAAACUAACAAACCAGCGGUAAAAGCACGUGAUAUUGUCAAAAUAAGUCACUUUUGAUCUUGGGUGAAAGAUACCAGAUAUUGGGUAGUCACUGAAAUGGCAAUGUCAUGGACUGGCAGGCACUGGCACUACUUUGCGACAUCCCAAAUUCCAAAUUAAAGAAUUUUCAGGUUCUGCAAUAAUGAAUCACCUUCAAAGAUUAUGUAUAACGGUCAAUUUGGAACUGAAUAUUGUUAACUUGUAAGCCUAUCUAGAUAUUCAAUUUUAAUUUGGCAUUUGUAAGAUGAACCAGAGAAUGGCCGAGGCAGAAAGCGAGCAAAUGCAGGAGGACCGUGGGGAUGAGUGAGGAGAGAAGUGAAAUUGCGGGAAAGGGACAGAGAGGAGAGCCAAGGCCAUAAGGGGAAGUGAUGAGAGAGUGAGAGGGAGCGAUGCUUUCCAUUAAAGUAAGCAGAGAUGUUGGAAGUAAAAGAGGAGAGAGAGAGAGAGAGAGAGAGAGAGAGAGAGAGAGAGGGAGAGUGGUGGGUACUUAGGACGAAGAGAGAGGUAGUGGUAGGGUUAGCCUUGGACUGGGUUGGUUAGAAAACAGAAUGUGAAAUCGUUGCGGCGGAGAAAAAGUUUGGGAGAAUCAUAAAUCAGCACUUGAUGAAUUUUCUAAAAUAGAAAAUAAAAUAGUAGUUUGUCUUUGUCCGGCAGUUUUCAAUUUGCAGGAAAAAAAAAAGGAAGGGGGGGUGCAAAAGCUAAAUACUAGAAUUUGAGGGGAGGGAAAAGAGAUAUACCCAAAAAUCCAGAGAUAAAACAUGAAGCGCACGCUGCAGAACAUCAGUUUAACCAACUAAACUGAAAAUGGCGCUACAAACUCACACUCCAUCAUCUUUCACCAACGGACUCUAUCACAGCCACUCAGUCUUCCCAAAACCCAAAAUUUCUAUCAAAUUCCAGAAGCCCACCGUCGACGCCGAGCCCAAUCCUGAGCCCACCUCCUCAACCAAGAAGCCUACCGCACCCGGCCAGGGGUUUGGCUCCUCGUCUUCUUCGUCCUUACCCUCCGGCAAGUCAAGCACAAGCAGCAGCAAGAAGAAGCAGAAGGGAAAAAGAGAGAGGGCGUCCAUAAUAAGGCGGUCGCCGGUCGAGAAACCUUCGUUUGUGAGCAAAGAAGAAGGGGCUAAAGCUGAGGAACAGAGAAAAAAUGAGAGUGCUUUUCUACUGGCAUGGUUUGGGCUUGGUGGGAUCAUUCUUGUGGAAGGCAUUGUUCUUGCUGCUUCAGGCUUCCUACCAGAAGAGUGGGAUAAUUUCUUUGUGAAGUACUUGUACCCAUCUUUCACCCCAACUGUUGUCUUGUUUCUUGCUGGAACUGUUGCAUAUGGAGUGUUGAAGUACCUGCAAAAUGAGAAGCUUAAAGACCAAGAGUAAAUAGUUCAUUCCAAUAAUCUGAUAUUUCCAAAUUAUAAGAUUAGACUGUUGUAGCGAAAGCCAAGUGAGCAUUUGUACAUUUCUGCAGGCUGUACUUUCAGUUUUAGUGCUUUCUUUGUGGAGAGUGUUGUAUUAACAGAGAACACAAAAAGGAAUUUUCCUGCUAGGAAUGUUAACCAUCCUUAUUUAUGAUCUGCUGAGGCAGCUUUAUGUAUCUUAAUUGGGCAUUGAAGCAGCUACACAAAAUUGUGUAUCUCAAUAUAUGCAACUGUUUUAUUACGGUUAUCUGUCUGAAUUCUUUGAAAGCAUGGCAUUGUUACUUGUUUCCUUUUUUACCUGAAAAAACAAUUGCACAAUUUACAAGGAAUUUCCUUACGUUGACAUUACAAUUUGACAAAUAGGAUUAAUAACUGCUUGCUCUUGUUUGGACCAAUAAUACUCUAUUUGACUCUUCAAAUCCUGAAAAACACUUUUUUGGGUGUUCCACUCAAUGGAAUUGAGAUUUCUUAUACAUGUACUUGCUGGCAAUGAUACAUGGAAGCUUGGUGCUAUGUUCUGUUUGUUAGACUUACAGUCAUAACUUUCUGAUGGUUCCAUAGUUCUUCAUUCGUCCUUUUCGUUGAAAGAGCAAUCAUCUUCAAGGGUAUACUUAAGUGCCAAUGCAGUUGAUGAAUGUGAGAUUCUGGCCUGGAAAAACAAAAGGCGUGAGAAUGUCCACCUCAUAUAGAUAAUAAAGCUACUGUAUUCUCAGCAUUGCAAUUUAUCAGAUAGUAUGGUAUAUGGUAAGUUAGAUUUGUUAUUUUUCUUCAAGGCAACCCACGAGUUUUGUGUUCUUGUGGUUAUGCUGGAUCCACUGUCUUAGGAAAAAGAGUGUUUAAUCCACACUGAGAUUGGAUGAACUCGGCGUGCGUCAUUCAUCGAUAUCUUCAAAAACCAAGCAGCCUAGUCAUCCAUUGUCUAGAACUAUGCCCGCUUUUUUAAUGUUUGGAAACUGUGUGAUUAUUCACCUGAGGCAAAGCACUAAACUUCAUGAUGCUUGAUAUUUCUCUCAUGCUUUAUGGAAUUUAUGUAACAUCAUUGUCAUUAACAUCAAUAAGGAACAAUAAGGGCUGCUGUUUAUAUCGAUGUAUAAUCUAUUUGAGGCAGUCUUUUUUGGUUGAUAAGGUCAUGUUGCUCCACUGAUGUUAAAUGAAGCGUGUAUUUCCCUGAUUGGUUAAUUCUUAUCUUUCGUUGCUUUACAUAUAAUUUGUGUUUUGUUUUGUUUUGCAUGAUUUACUUUGCAAUGAGAAAUGAUCUCUGCUUCUUGUCUGUGGUAGUACAUCAGUCAAUGAAAACUUUGAAUAAGUGGAUUCUUUUGCAGCCACUGCCAUCUUUCUUUAACAAGGUCACCUUGGAUUGAUCACAUAAAGCUCACGCCUUUUGCAGGUAGAGGCCUCAAUCUCCUGAUGAUACCCUGGUGCAUUACUCAGGAGUCAGCAAAUGGAUCAACCAAAACAAAGGGGAAACGUUUGGUCAGAUGGGCAUUAAAAGAUGGAUCCAUGGAUGGAUGGCUCUACAACAAGCAACAGAGGAGCACAAUAAAAACUCAAUGUCUCCACCCUCCAUUAAUUGUUGUAAGACGGUUUGGAGAUUGGCAUUUAAGGUCUUAAAUGGACACUGGAGGCUUUGAAGCAAGAUUGCUUAUUGGAUUGAGAAUGUAAAUGGAUAUGAUUACUUACGUUUUAGAAUCAUUAUGCACCCGUAACAAAUUU